GACGAACUGUGCAAACGUUAUUCGGAAUCACUGGGCUUGAAGAGUGCGUAGGCGGUUUCGUAAGUAGGGUGUGAAAGCCCCCAGCUCAACUGGGGAACUGCGUCCUAAACUGCGAGGCUGGAGUGAGGUAGGGGUGUGUGGAACUUCCGGUGGAGCGGUGAAAUGUGUUGAUAUCAUCUGGAAUACCGGAGGCGAAGGCGGCUCACUGGGGGUUUUCUGACGCUGAGGAACGAAAGCCAGGGUAGCGAACGGG
This 253-nucleotide ribosomal RNA is filed under the name uncultured bacterium. Its description in RNAcentral is "partial 16S ribosomal RNA". It matches the Rfam family "Bacterial small subunit ribosomal RNA", at positions 524 to 776 of the family's 1533-position model. The record is from RNAcentral.